Brassica rapa (field mustard) is the source of this 2303-nucleotide long non-coding RNA. RefSeq lists it as uncharacterized. The record is from RefSeq and is a predicted model, not a curated record. Lineage: Eukaryota; Viridiplantae; Streptophyta; Magnoliopsida; Brassicales; Brassicaceae.
UGAGGUGGUUUUGGUAAUCAAUAUCAAUGUUUUAAUUAAAAAGGUGGAACUAUUUUCUUAAGUUUUUGAGUAACUAGCAUGUAUUUUGGUGUGUAAUAUUUGUUUUUAUCACUAGUUACUGUCUUUCAUUGUAUUGUUGGUUGUUCUAGUCUCUAUCUUUGUUGUUUCAUAGAUCGGGAUUAAAUCAUUCAUGAAACUUGUUUCAUGCAAACUCUAUCAAACUAUAAGACUCAUAGUCUUAUCCUGUAAUAGUUUAUGUUUAAUUUGAAAGCCUUUAUUCAAAAAAAAAAAAAAAAUAUUUGUUUUUAUAGGUGUCAGUUUAAACUUCACUCCUGUAGUGGCUACAUUUGCUAAUUACUCCAAAGAGUAAAACAGUUAUCACCAUUAUAAGCAAUGACAGCAUAAAUAAAUAAAUGAAUUUUAAUUAUUUAUUUUCUUAUUUUUAGUAAAAUAGAAUUCUCUCCAACCACAUGUAUUUUUUCAAAUGGAUUUUGAUCAUUUACAGGCUGCCAAGAUUCUUCCUGCAUAUGAAGAUUUUCAGAUCGAUCAUAAACAAAAUAACUGAUAACCAGGUUUGAGUGUGGAUGAUUAUAAGACAUGUGGGGACAGGGCUCUACGUACUCGGAAUCAUAAGGUAUAUCAAAUGGAUUUUGAUCAUUUACAGGCUGCCAAGAUUCUUCCUGCAUAUGAAGAUUUAGAUCAAUCAUAAACAAAAUAACUGAUAACCGUUUGAGUGUGGAUGAUUUAUAAACAUCUAAGAGAAAAAUGCAAAGAAAAAGUGGAACCAUGUAAGGGGAGUAUGCAAAAUUCCAUAUUCCAUAUUGGGAAAUUAAGAAGAGUAAUUAACUUUUCACUUAAUCAGGUAUAGAAGAAGGCUUCGAGGACACUAAAGAUCAAUAACAUUUCCUAUCAGGGGCGAAGGCAGGUUAUGAGUAGAGAGUGCAUGUGCAUCCAUAGAAAUAAUAAAAUUUAAAAUUUUAAGCUUAAAACAAGUAGAAUUUGACAGGUAAAAUGGUAAAAGGCAAGUUGUGCACCCACGCUAACUCAAGUUCGAUUAUCUUCUAUGUUUUUUUUAUUAAUAGUGCACCCAUGCCAAGUAUCUUCUGGCUUCGCCCCUGUUUCCUAUUACCUAAGCUCAAGUCAAAGAGUAACAACGAAGCUCAUCAGUUGCGAACUCAGUAGAGAGAAGAAAGAUAAAAUACUUUCAAGGUUAUUGCAGCGACGACUUGGUGGGAGCUUUAGAAGUCCACGAAUGAUUUUCUCGUUUCGUUCUUCUUCUCUUUUACUUCCCAUUUCUCCAACCAACAACCAAAAAAAUGGAAUACAUACAAAUUGAAUAGUGGCAGUUAGAAAGAAAAAAACAUGAAUGGUAGUUUUUUUUUUUGCAGGAAUGUAGUGAAAUGAAAAUAUAUUUAGUAUAUGUAAGCAAAAGUUAUUAUUUUAUAUAAUUUUUAAUUUAUUUUUAUUUUUUGUUUCUGCUUUUUUUUACUUAGAUCAUUACAUUGCUUUCAUAUAUUCAAUUGGAAUUAGUGGAAUACAUUUUAUUUUUCAUUCCAAUCAAAUUGUAAUAUUUUUGUGGAAUCUUCAUGAAUGUCUCAUUGCACAUAGUUUUCAAAAAUGUACAUCCAAUUGCAGCCUUAGUUUAUUCCAUUCAUUUUCAGAUUGACAUAGUCAAUAUUGAUCUUGUAAUUUCUAAAACUAUAAAUAUGAAAAAUGGUUGAUCACGUUAGUUUCGCUGACUUUGUUCUAUUUUUCUAUUUUUCACAAGUAUGAAUAAAAUAAACUAUUUUUAUCUUAUUUGUUGUGUAUAUAUAUUAAAAAUGUUAGGAAAUUUUUUUUAAAACAAAAUUACAAAUCAUUGUUUAUACUAUCUCUUAUCAGAUAUUGAGCCAUGAAGUCUUCUAUCUUCUUCGUUGUUUUUUGUGUUGUUUUGUUGCUCGUUUUGAACUAUCGUGAAGGAGAAGCAAUAGCUCUUCGCUACAGGUGUAACGUUACAAUGAAGGGUCGUGGAACAUGCGGAAAUAAUGGAAUACAGCGUUGUCUCAAUGAUUCCAAGGAAACCAAAUACUUUCGACUUGUUGAUCAAUGCAGUAAAUGUGAAGACUCUAAACCCCCUAAAUAUCGUACCUGCAGUUGCAGUCAACCUAACCCUUACCAAUGCAAAUAAAUUCAUAUCGGGGUCAAUUAUGCAUCCAAUAUAAAAAGAUAUAUUUUAAUUUUAUUUUCUUAGUAAUAUAUAUAUAUAUAUAUAUAUAUAUAUAUAUAUAACACACUUCCAACCUGAUUUCAAUUUUCUGCAUUAU